This is a long non-coding RNA of Drosophila teissieri, 443 nucleotides long. RefSeq lists it as uncharacterized. The transcript has 2 exons. NCBI's taxonomy places the organism in Eukaryota, Metazoa, Arthropoda, Insecta, Diptera, Drosophilidae. The record is from RefSeq and is a predicted model, not a curated record.
CAGCACACGCCCGCUAACAUUUUGCCCCUUUGGCGGUGUUUGCAGCCGCCCCUGGCCAUCAUUUCCUCAUUUAUUUAUCCAUCCUUCCAUCCAGCUAUCCAUCCAGCCAUCCAUCCAUGUAGCCACCCCUGCGACUUUGACAGCUCGAGGGUGCCUUUUUCGGUUGGGUGGACAAAACCCUGUGCGCCCUUUCGCGAAAUUAAUAUCAUGUACAAACAAAAACAACUGAGACAAAGUACUUAUCAUCGCGGGCAAACCAGGCGACCAAAAAGAGGCAUACUUUUUGGAGUGGCCGAAGAGGUGUUAAGGGUGAAAAGGGUUAACCCCAGCUCUCUGCGGCAAGAACUAUCUGUGUUAGUUACACCUAGAAGUACCAUAUAAAAUAGAAUGAAAUUCUUAUGAAAAUGAUUAACUUAACUGAAUAUAUUGCUCUCCAUAUUGCA